This 274-nucleotide ribosomal RNA is filed under the name uncultured bacterium. Its description in RNAcentral is "partial 16S ribosomal RNA". It matches the Rfam family "Bacterial small subunit ribosomal RNA", at positions 523 to 796 of the family's 1533-position model. The record is from RNAcentral.
AUACGGAGGGUGCAAGCGUUAAUCGGAAUUACUGGGCGUAAAGCGUGCGUAGGUGGUUUGUUAAGUCAGAUGUGAAAGCCCCGGGCUCAACCUGGGAACUGCAUUUGAAACUGGCAUACUAGAGUAUACGAGAGGAAAGUGGAAUUUCAGGUGUAGCGGUGAAAUGCGUAGAUAUCUGAAGGAACAUCAAUGGCGAAGGCAGCUUUCUGGACUAAUACUGACACUGAGGUACGAAAGCGUGGGUAGCAAACAGAAUUAGAAACCCUAGUAGUCC